AAGGUUUUUGUGACUGAGUGGCGGACGGGUGAGUAACGCGUGGGUAACCUGCCUCAUACAGGGGGAUAACAGUUAGAAAUGACUGCUAAUACCGCAUAAGACCACAGAGCCGCAUGGCUCGGUGGGAAAAACUCCGGUGGUAUGAGAUGGACCCGCGUCUGAUUAGGUAGUUGGUGGGGUAACGGCCUACCAAGCCAACGAUCAGUAGCCGACCUGAGAGGGUGACCGGCCACAUUGGGACUGAGACACGGCCCAAACUCCUACGGGAGGCAGCAGUGGGGAAUAUUGCACAAUGGGGGAAACCCUGAUGCAGCGACGCCGCGUGAGCGAAGAAGUAUUUCGGUAUGUAAAGCUCUAUCAGCAGGGAAGAAAAUGACGGUACCUGACUAAGAAGCACCGGCUAAAUACGUGCCAGCAGCCGCGGUAAUACGUAUGGUGCAAGCGUUAUCCGGAUUUACUGGGUGUAAAGGGAGCGUAGACGGCUGUGUAAGUCUGAAGUGAAAGCCCGGGGCUCAACCCCGGGACUGCUUUGGAAACUAUGCAGCUAGAGUGUCGGAGAGGUAAGUGGAAUUCCCAGUGUAGCGGUGAAAUGCGUAGAUAUUGGGAGGAACACCAGUGGCGAAGGCGGCUUACUGGACGAUGACUGACGUUGAGGCUCGAAAGCGUGGGGAGCAAACAGGAUUAGAUACCCUGGUAGUCCACGCCGU
Molecule: ribosomal RNA, 707 nt
Filed under: uncultured bacterium
Lineage: Bacteria
Description: bacterial SSU rRNA
Rfam family: Bacterial small subunit ribosomal RNA
Source: RNAcentral